This 326-nucleotide ribosomal RNA is filed under the name Cercozoa sp. RNAcentral describes it as "SSU rRNA". The stretch from base 113 to 326 matches the Rfam family "Eukaryotic small subunit ribosomal RNA", at positions 745 to 955 of the family's 1831-position model. The record is from RNAcentral. Lineage: Eukaryota; Cercozoa.
GAUUUCUGGGCUCAAGAGUUUGGCCGGCCACGGUUUCGUGUGUUAGUGCUUUGCUCUGUGUCCAUCCUUCCAAUCGCUAUUGGCUAUUCUUCAUUGAUUGGUCAGUAGUAUUGGAUCUUUUACUUUGAAAAAAUUAGAGUGUUUCAAGCAGGCAUGUUUUGCUAUGAAUACAUUAGCAUGGAAUAAUAAUCUAGGACUUUCGGUUCUAUUUUGUUGGUGUUCUGGAGCUGAAGUAAUGAUUGAUAGGGAUAGUUGGGGGUGCUAGUAUUCAAUGGCCAGAGGUGAAAUUCUCGGAUUCCUUGAAGACUAACUUAUGCGAAAGCAUU